This 451-nucleotide long non-coding RNA is filed under the name Panax ginseng (ginseng). Its description in RNAcentral is "long non-coding RNA (PGIN_LNC017729)". The record is from RNAcentral. Lineage: Eukaryota; Viridiplantae; Streptophyta; Magnoliopsida; Apiales; Araliaceae.
UAUGCAAUUAGAAUUCCUUAAUUUAAGGAAUUAAUAUUGAUUUACUUAUUAAAUUAAGUAAUUAAUAUCUAUACAUAUUACAGUCCUUCUGUCAUCUAAAAGGCGAAGGCGAGGAGAGUCUCCGACGAGAACCCCUUUCGUCGCCGACAAACUCGCAGGCGGCAAUGCAGAGCAUGGGUGAUUAUAGCUGAUAUGGAGUGAAAUGAAAUGGAUGGUUCGAAUUUGAGAUCUGGGGAAGUGAGUUUGAAUUUCAAAGGGUUGUACAGUAUGCCAGUGAAAAGUACAGAUUUAUUUUUGUUUGGUUAAUUAAAGAUUGAACAAGUUUGAAUGAGAUUCAUGGACCUUAUCUCUUUUGCUUUAAUUUGCAGUAUAUACAAAGUUUGCUUGAAUCUCAAAAGAAAUAUAGUGGAGUAUCCCUCACCGUCUCCUCCUCCGCCUCCACCACUUCCGC